AUGGGUUGUCCCCUUCAUUCAACAACGGCGCCGCGGGAAACCCUUUCCGCCGUCUUCUUCUUCCUUCCACGUCGCGACGCCAUGACUCCUCCAUCUUCUUCUCCGAUUGAAUCGCGAGCGGUUCCACUUCCCUCUUUCUCUGAUCGAUCCUUUCCAUUUCUGCGAACGAAGAUCUAUUCUCUCUCCGAUACCUCACCACGGCGGGGCUGUCCACCACGACGCUUUCUCCUCCGAUUCUGUCUCAGUUUUGUCUCAUCUUCAACAUCGUCUCAGCCUACAUCGGAACCUCGCAGAUAA
This is a non-coding RNA of Vicia faba (fava bean), 297 nucleotides long. The record is from the annotation of a GenBank genome assembly. NCBI's taxonomy places the organism in Eukaryota, Viridiplantae, Streptophyta, Magnoliopsida, Fabales, Fabaceae.